RNAcentral lists this ribosomal RNA (467 nucleotides) under uncultured bacterium. RNAcentral's name for it is "partial 16S ribosomal RNA". It matches the Rfam family "Bacterial small subunit ribosomal RNA", at positions 28 to 506 of the family's 1533-position model. The record is from RNAcentral.
GAUGAACGCUGGCGGCGUGCUUAACACAUGCAAGUCGAACGGAAAGGCCCUGCUUUUGUGGGGUGCUCGAGUGGCGAACGGGUGAGUAACACGUGAGUAACCUGCCCUUGACUUUGGGAUAACUUCAGGAAACUGGGGCUAAUACCGGAUAGGAGCUCCUGCUGCAUGGUGGGGGUUGGAAAGUUUCGGCGGUUGGGGAUGGACUCGCGGCUUAUCAGCUUGUUGGUGGGGUAGUGGCUUACCAAGGCUUUGACGGGUAGCCGGCCUGAGAGGGUGACCGGCCACAUUGGGACUGAGAUACGGCCCAGACUCCUACGGGAGGCAGCAGUGGGGAAUAUUGCACAAUGGGCGGAAGCCUGAUGCAGCAACGCCGCGUGCGGGAUGACGGCCUUCGGGUUGUAAACCGCUUUCGCCUGUGACGAAGCGUGAGUGACGGUAAUGGGGAAAGAAGCACCGGCUAACUACGU